ACCCCUCUACCUGAGUGGUAGAGUAACGCCACGGUAAGGCAUAAGUCGUCGGUUCAAAUCCGACAGGGGGCU
RNAcentral lists this transfer RNA (72 nucleotides) under Platycodon grandiflorus (balloon flower). RNAcentral's name for it is "tRNA-Thr". It matches the Rfam family "tRNA". From Rfam's summary of the family: Transfer RNA (tRNA) molecules are approximately 80 nucleotides in length. Their secondary structure includes four short double-helical elements and three loops (D, anti-codon, and T loops). Further hydrogen bonds mediate the characteristic L-shaped molecular structure. tRNAs have two regions of fundamental functional importance: the anti-codon, which is responsible for specific mRNA codon recognition, and the 3' end, to which the tRNAs corresponding amino acid is attached (by aminoacyl-tRNA synthetases). tRNAs cope with the degeneracy of the genetic code in two manners: having more than one tRNA (with a specific anti-codon) for a particular amino acid; and 'wobble' base-pairing, i.e. permitting non-standard base-pairing at the 3rd anti-codon position. The record is from RNAcentral. Lineage: Eukaryota; Viridiplantae; Streptophyta; Magnoliopsida; Asterales; Campanulaceae.